UUUCCUUCAGAAUUACUUUGGAAUGCAUUUUCAUUUCUGCCUAAACUUUGAGAAGCACAGACAUUCUUCAAAAUCUAUCUUCUUCAUUUGCCGGAGCAGACACUGCUCGUUUAUGGUCCUGGGAAGGAAGACGUGACACCUCAGUCCAUCACUUUUGUUAUUCUUGAUUGCGGCCCCAGUGGAUGUUACAACACCACCCCUAACACAUCCUUGGAAAUGCUGUCACAUUUGGCAUGGCUGGGGACAGGAGAGGAAAUGCUGGGAUGGAUACCUGGAGGAGAGUCUGGGGUUCUUCUUGGAGGGAAGCUCAGUCAUAUCUGGAUGGGAAGUGGAACUGCGGCAGCCAUGUAGAUGGCAUCAACAGUGAGGAAGUGCUGUGUUUCACCACUCCCUGUUCCUACGUGCCCCAUCUGCACCAGCGGCCAGUCUUGGGAGCUGCAAGAAGGAUGGGGAAAGCCCAAUCCAGGGCUGAUUCCAGAGUCUGAAUGCAGUGGCUGCAAGACCAAGGUGCACCAUUCUGCUGGAAUUUGAAACCAGAGGGAGAAGGAAGAAAAUUACCACUUACUACGACCUGGUGGAUGAUGGUGACUUCUUCAGGCCCCACGUCAUUCAUUCCUUACUUCCCAACGGCCCCCUGCUGCAGGUGGCACCCUACCAUUUACAGGCACAGACUGCCACUCAGAGAGAGCAAGUAGCUGGCCGAGGGUAGCACAGCGGGCCAGAGACAAAGCAGGAAUUCCGCCAAGCCCAUUGCCUAAACCCCAGUGAGGAAAGCCAGGAACUGGAACUCCAUUUACAGAUGGAGAAAAGGGGACUCAUUUCUUCCUGCCCCAGCCCUGGAUGGGGGAAGACCCUCUUCCUGCACCCCCCCCCCCUUGCCUCUCCUUAUGAGAGUCCAGCCAGGG
Molecule: long non-coding RNA, 905 nt
Organism: Hyaena hyaena (striped hyena)
Lineage: Eukaryota; Metazoa; Chordata; Mammalia; Carnivora; Hyaenidae
Exons: 4
Source: RefSeq, a predicted model, not a curated record